RNAcentral lists this long non-coding RNA (1196 nucleotides) under Apis mellifera (honey bee). RNAcentral describes it as "uncharacterized LOC113218536, transcript variant X1". Lineage: Eukaryota; Metazoa; Arthropoda; Insecta; Hymenoptera; Apidae. The record is from RNAcentral.
UACAUUUUUAUCAGAUUAAAAAACAAUUAUUGUGAAGUGGUAAUUAUCUCAAAGUCUACAAGACUCGAAUCACGUUCACAAUAUUCCACACGUAAACGCUAAUAACACCUUCAUUAAUUCAAUCUUUCAUGUGGCGCUGCCAUCUCGAGAAACGCGGCCUUGCGAAAGGCAAAUCGCAACAAGACGCGGGACAACAGGAUAUACGUUCGUAGGCAUCGUGGGCAGCCUUGUCGCGACGUCCAUGUCGGAAAACACCUGCGUUUCAACGGCCUAGAGCAGCAGACAAUCCUUUACGUCGGCGACCUUCCGCAAAGAAACUAUUGCGAAACUAUCGUCCGCUGUGAACGCAACCUAAACGCCAUCGAGAGAUGCAUGGAGAUUGCCCGUUUGAUCCUGCUUGCACGAAUGUCUAACGUGCAUUGUCACACGAUGACAGCCCACCGUUUGUUUCGCCACAGUGGUUCAACAACGUUUCUCGAACAACCUUCAAUCAUAUAUCGGAAUAUCGAAGAUGAUAUUUUCAAAUUAAUUGAAACGGCAACGAAUGCUUUGUUAUUUUUUCCACUUGCGAUGUGGCAAUAUGGCGAUCGAAGUGCAGUUAUCGAAAUGUAAAAAUAUGUGCGGUUAAGUAAACAAAGUGAACGUUAUAUAAGUACAUUGAGAAUAAUUUUAAAUUGGUAAUUUAUAAAUAUUUAAUCGGAAUAAAAAGGUAAAAAUUUGGCAAAACUUCUAUCGAGACGUCCAACAGUUUUCGUUGUAAACGAACAUUUAUGAUACACGUCAAGAUGUAAUUCUACGAUACGAUAUUCCUGGUGUUGGGUAUCCCCCAUGGCGAGAAGCGAUUCUAAAAAACUCGACACGGGCAGGGCUAAAGGAAAGAAGGAAAAAGCAGUCAUUGCCAAAAAAAGGCACAUCGUAGCAGAUGUAUUGGAUGGUACAGAAAAAUAAGGGACAUGAAUGAGCUCGUUAUCGAUUCGGCAUCGGAAUUGCUCAAUUUACUCAUUCAGGGACCUACAUACGUUUUUGCGGGGUAUAAAUGUUUAAGGAUAAUAUCGUAUAAAGAUCUAACCUUAUAUUUGUAUUAAGAUAUAAAUUGAAUAAUUUUUCCUUUCCAUGAUAAUUAAAUAAUUAAAUUAAUUUUCUAGGCGAUAUUUACUACGUGUAUAGACGAAAUAUAUGAUCAAAGAGAAAAUUAA